Molecule: ribosomal RNA, 386 nt
Filed under: uncultured Tulasnellaceae
Lineage: Eukaryota; Fungi; Basidiomycota; Agaricomycetes; Cantharellales; Tulasnellaceae
Description: LSU rRNA
Rfam family: Bacterial large subunit ribosomal RNA
Source: RNAcentral
CCUCAUAAGUUAGACGAUAUGAAGAACCACUGAAUAUUAUUAGUGUUACUACACUAGUAAUAUUUAAGUGGUGGCACAGAAUCGGAGGCCCCGACUGUUUACUUAAAACACAGCUUUCUGCGACGAAUAAUAUCUUUGUAUAGAAAGCGAAUUUUGCCCAAUGCCAUUAAUAUAAGGUCGAUAAGCGCUUAGCGUAAUUAUUGGCUGAAGUUCUGGUCAAUGGCGGUCUUAUCUAUGAGGAUCCUAAGGUAGCAAAAUUAAUUGUCCAUUAAAUGUGGUCCUGACUGAAUAAAGUAACGAUGGUCUCGCUGUCUCUACAAGUAUCUCAGUGAAAUUGAAUUAGCCGUGCAGAUGCGGUUUAACUUCGGGUAGACGGGAAGACCCUA